Long non-coding RNA from Esox lucius (northern pike), 1102 nucleotides. The record is from Ensembl. Lineage: Eukaryota; Metazoa; Chordata; Actinopteri; Esociformes; Esocidae.
GGCAGAGUGUCUGCAGGUUUUCACUCUCACCUUGUACUUGAUUGACUAAUUAGGUCACUAAUUGGUUAGUUUCUACCCUCACCUGGUUGUUUAGGUCUGAACUGGGAACCAAUUUAAAGGAAAAACCUCAGUGGAACUGGUGUGACACCUCUGAUCUAGAGGAUUUGAGAUAGCUGAUUGAGGACCUAAUGGGGUUCCUUGUUAUGACCCCAUUUUCAAUUAUUGUGUUUAUUUUGUAUUUUUUGUAUAUGCUUAUAUUUAGUACGUGGAGGGCUCAUCAGGGCUCAUCUACAUGAGUCAUCAGUCUCCGUAUGACUCCAUCGUGAAAGACGCACCUAUGAUGAACUGAGCAUCAACAGGUUGGAAAGACUCACAACUGAGGUGAAAAGUGUGGUUAGUGAAAUUACAUUCAAUCAUUAAAUCGUGCUUCGCAGCCAGCUUCUAAGUCUGUGCAGAGCCAAAAAUGCCCGUUCCUACCGAGGGGCUAUCACCAGGAAUCCUGGGCCUCCUGGAAAAAUAUAUGCCUAGGCCCCCUCACUUAUACAUGCCAUUGACAUUAUUUCAAUCAGAUGGCCCUGACAACCCACGGCCCUGUGAAUCAAUCACACUUUACCCUGCGUUAGUUAGGGCUCUGCUACUAUGCAGAUACUGCUGAGGAGACACAGCUUCACCACCUGAAUGGUAAAUGAUCCGCCAUCAUCUUGAAGCAUGUUGCAGAUGGACCUGAAAAGAGAGACUUUUAUUCUGAUGGUUAAUUCUCAGUCACCGAGUGGAGCAAUGAGCCCAUUGUCCACUCCUACCUGGCAUUCGUUCACCAGAGGGUCGCGAGGGUGGAGAGCUGUUGCUUCAGGUCUGCCAAGGGUCCCAACCAGUGUCCCAACAGGCUCUGGAGUGCUGCCCAGCGGCCGCUCCCAUUGGUUGGAACGAGCCAGUCCUCAACACGCUCUUCCGCCGCGGUUUGCGAGAGGAGCUGCAGACCAAGCUAGUUUGCCGGGAUGAUGGUCAAUUCUUGCCCCAGCUCAUCCCCAUGGCCACCCGAGUGGGCAACAUGAUCAAAGUGGGGCCAUCUCCAUGCGAAGGACCACCUUUAGACUACACAGAG